AUGCUGCCGGCUAGCGUCAAGUUCGAUCCCACGGAUCAGGAGCUAAUCGAGCACCUUGAGGAUAAAGUGAGUGCUGACAGCGCGAGUUCUCACCCUCUCAUCGAUUUGUUCAUACCAACCAUCGACAGCGAGCACGGCAUAUGCUAA
RNAcentral lists this ribosomal RNA (147 nucleotides) under Triticum aestivum (bread wheat). Its description in RNAcentral is "partial small subunit ribosomal RNA". The record is from RNAcentral. Lineage: Eukaryota; Viridiplantae; Streptophyta; Magnoliopsida; Poales; Poaceae.